This 218-nucleotide long non-coding RNA is filed under the name Brassica napus (rape). Its description in RNAcentral is "long non-coding RNA (BNAP_LNC023302)". Lineage: Eukaryota; Viridiplantae; Streptophyta; Magnoliopsida; Brassicales; Brassicaceae. The record is from RNAcentral.
ACGAAGCUUGAUCAGAAUCAAAACAUAACUUGUCUGAAAUCGGCAAAGAAGAUAAAACACGAAACGAAGGAUAUCCCAGCCAUCGAUGCCAUAGUUCUGAUAUAGAAGCAUUCCUAGACGCAGUCCUAUGAGCACUUGCAGCUUUGACUCCAGUAAAAUAUUAAACCCCCUCACGUUCUUCACCUGUUCCAAUCAGGGUCUUCGUAAAACGGUCCUGC